This 294-nucleotide long non-coding RNA is filed under the name Nicotiana benthamiana. Its description in RNAcentral is "long non-coding RNA (NBEN_LNC031161)". Lineage: Eukaryota; Viridiplantae; Streptophyta; Magnoliopsida; Solanales; Solanaceae. The record is from RNAcentral.
UAUAUCUUUUUUACUUUUUAGCCACAGAGUAUUUGUGAACCCAUACGACUUUCGUUCUUUAAUUUCUUGGUUCGAACUGUUAGUUGAAUUAUUUCUUGAUUUCAUCCGUUUAUUCAUUCAAUUCACAGUCACAAGGGUCCGGAAUGACUUCUAGUCUAUUAGAAUCCCAUAUAGUAGUAAAAUAUAUCUUUAGUUCAUUUCAUAUAUAACUAGCACUAGUCAAUAUCUAAUAUCACAUAUACGUGUCUUUCUUCCAUAACGUAAACCAAGCAUUCAUCUUAGAUUCAGUCCUAU